GAUGAACGCUGGCGGCGUGCCUAAUACAUGCAAGUCGAGCGAACGGACGAGAAGCUUGCUUCUCUGAUGUUAGCGGCGGACGGGUGAGUAACACGUGGAUAACCUACCUAUAAGACUGGGAUAACUUCGGGAAACCGGAGCUAAUACCGGAUAAUAUUUUGAACCGCAUGGUUCAAAAGUAAAAGACGGUCUUGCUGUCACUUAUAGAUGGAUCCGCGCUGCAUUAGCUAGUUGGUAAGGUAACGGCUUACCAAGGCAACGAUGCAUAGCCGACCUGAGAGGGUGAUCGGCCACACUGGAACUGAGACACGGUCCAGACUCCUACGGGAGGCAGCAGUAGGGAAUCUUCCGCAAUGGGCGAAAGCCUGACGGAGCAACGCCGCGUGAGUGAUGAAGGUCUUCGGAUCGUAAAACUCUGUUAUUAGGGAAGAACAUAUGUGUAAGUAACUGUGCACAUCUUGACGGUGCCUAAUCAGAAAGCCACGGCUAACUACGUG
This 497-nucleotide ribosomal RNA is filed under the name uncultured bacterium. RNAcentral's name for it is "partial 16S ribosomal RNA". It matches the Rfam family "Bacterial small subunit ribosomal RNA", at positions 28 to 507 of the family's 1533-position model. The record is from RNAcentral.